GAUGAACGCUAGCGAUAGGCCUAACACAUGCAAGUCGAGGGGCAUCACAUGAAGUAGCAAUACGGAUGGUGGCGACCGGCGCACGGGUGAGUAACACGUAUGCAACCUGCCUUCAACAAGGGGAUAACCCGUUGAAAGACGGACUAAUACCCUAUAACACAGGGGUCCCGCAUGGGGAUAUUUGUUAAAGGACAACCGGUUGAAGAUGGGCAUGCGUUCCAUUAGCUAGUUGGCGGGGUAAGGGCCCACCAAGGCAACGAUGGAUAGGGGAACUGAGAGGUUUAUCCCCCACACUGGUACUGAGACACGGACCAGACUCCUACGGGAGGCAGCAGUGAGGAAUAUUGGUCAAUGGACGCAAGUCUGAACCAGCCACGUCGCGUGAAGGAAGACGGCCCUACGGGUUGUAAACUUCUUUUAACGGGAAUAAAGUGCCCCACGCGUGGGGUUUUGCAUGUACCGUAUGAAUAGGAUCGGCUAACUCCGCG
RNAcentral lists this ribosomal RNA (488 nucleotides) under uncultured bacterium. Its description in RNAcentral is "bacterial SSU rRNA". It matches the Rfam family "Bacterial small subunit ribosomal RNA", at positions 28 to 507 of the family's 1533-position model. The record is from RNAcentral.